AAUGAAAUGUAGGAAGCCAAUUGAUAUUAUAGCCCAGACUAUGCUCAUGUACCCAAAUGGUUCUUUUUUUCCAGGGUAGUAUGUUACGAUGUGGGAGAUUAUCUGGAAACCUGGUAAGAUGAGGAUAUAGACUUCGGGGUGACCAAAAAAUCAGAAUAGAUGUUGAUAUAGGAUAGGGUCGCCUCCUCCAGGUGGGUCA
Nomascus leucogenys (northern white-cheeked gibbon) is the source of this 199-nucleotide long non-coding RNA. RefSeq lists it as uncharacterized. NCBI's taxonomy places the organism in Eukaryota, Metazoa, Chordata, Mammalia, Primates, Hylobatidae. The transcript is spliced from 3 exons. The record is from RefSeq and is a predicted model, not a curated record.